This 254-nucleotide ribosomal RNA is filed under the name uncultured prokaryote. RNAcentral's name for it is "partial 16S ribosomal RNA". It matches the Rfam family "Bacterial small subunit ribosomal RNA", at positions 524 to 776 of the family's 1533-position model. The record is from RNAcentral.
UACAGAGACUGCAAGCGUUAUUCGGAUUCACUGGGCGUAAAGGGUGCGCAGGCGGUUGGGUGUGGCAGAUGUGAAAUCCCGAGGCUUAACCUCGGAACUGCGUCUGAAACUACUCGACUAGAGUACUGGAGAGGGUAACGGAAUUCACGGGGUAGCAGUGAAAUGCGUAGAUAUCAAGAGGAACACCUGAGGCGAAGGCGGGUUGCUAGGCUGACACUGACGCUGACAGCGCGAAAGCCAGGGGAGCAAACGGG